CCCAUCGCGUGGGAUGCGAAGGAAGCCGAAGGCAAAGCGCUGGCCCGACGAACAGGAAUGGCAUACGAGGCGGGCACGCUGGGUGAGGAGGCACGAAUGAGAGGGGGUUACCCUCCUGCCUGGGACACGGCGCGCGGUUCGGUUGCUCCGGGCGGGCGGGUCGGCUAUGAUG
This is a non-coding RNA of Limnochorda pilosa, 172 nucleotides long. NCBI's taxonomy places the organism in Bacteria, Bacillati, Bacillota, Limnochordia, Limnochordales, Limnochordaceae. The record is from Rfam.